GACGAACGCUGGCGGCGUGCCUAAUACAUGCAAGUUGAGCGCUGAAGGUUGGUACUUGUCCCAACUGGCUGAGCAGCGAACGGGUGAGUAACGCGUGGGGAAUCUGCCUUUGAGCGGGGGACAACAUUUGGAAACGAAUGCUAAUACCGCAUAAAAACUUUAAACUCAAGUUUUAAGUUUGAAAGAUGCAAUUGCAUCACUCAAAGAUGAUCCCGCGUUGUAUUAGCUAGUUGGUGAGGUAAAGGCUCACCAAGGCGAUGAUACAUAGCCGACCUGAGAGGGUGAUCGGCCACAUUGGGACUGAGACACGGCCCAAACUCCUACGGGAGGCAGCAGUAGGGAAUCUUCGGCAAUGGACGAAAGUCUGACCGAGCAACGCCGCGUGAGUGAAGAAGGUUUUCGGAUCGUAAAACUCUGUUGGUAGAGAAGAACGUUGGUGAGAGUGGAAAGCUCAUCAAGUGACGGUAACUACCCAGAAAGGGACGGCUAACUACGUG
RNAcentral lists this ribosomal RNA (497 nucleotides) under uncultured bacterium. RNAcentral's name for it is "partial 16S ribosomal RNA". It matches the Rfam family "Bacterial small subunit ribosomal RNA", at positions 28 to 507 of the family's 1533-position model. The record is from RNAcentral.